Molecule: long non-coding RNA, 1412 nt
Organism: Echinops telfairi (small Madagascar hedgehog)
Lineage: Eukaryota; Metazoa; Chordata; Mammalia; Afrosoricida; Tenrecidae
Exons: 5
Source: RefSeq, a predicted model, not a curated record
AUUUUGGAGUCGGGCAGCGGCGACGGCGGCCGGGUCCGGCCGGGGAAAGGGAGGAGCCAGUCAGGUCUGGCUGUCAUCCGUCUUUCUCCCAGCCCCAUAGCACCAGUCCACAGAAUCAAAGCCACUUGUCAAAUUGAUGAUCCCGACAUGGACAGAGAACCGCUCCAGAUUAAGCCAACACUAAAAGCAAGCACUUCAGAUUCAGAGUGGCUAUGAAUGCAAAACUCAUCAUAGACUCUCAGGAACAAAGGGUGUGCCUUCUUCCUGGAGGGGCAGACUACUGACCUAAGGCUAAUGGUUUGAGACACUGGGAAGAAAACCCUGGGCGUCUACUUCCAAAACAUGACCUCUAUGAGCACAACUUGACUCGGAAAUGUGGCGUUGCCAUGAACCAGGAUCCACUUGACAGCAACGGGUUAAUUAAACUUAGGAGUUGCCAGGGGAGAAGCUGAGGGACAAAUCCCGGUUGCGAUCACCUGGGUCAAUGGAGAAUGCAGGUAAGCCAGUCUGGGGCCAAUCUCAGGUGCCUGUGAUUAGGAGACUCCUGGUCUCAGGGGUCUCACCUGGACCACAAGAAGAGCAGUCCAGCCAUGGUGGAAAAGUGCUUCACGCCUUGUAGAAGAGCCAUGCUCUAGUUACCAGGUAUGGACAAAGAAGAGGAAAAGGAACAUUCCUUUGCAAUCACUCCAUGGAAAGAAUUAGGGAAAAUUGCAUUUGUCUGGACCUGCAGACAAAGUCUCCCUUAAGCUUCCUAUGCUCAAAAAUCCACCUCCGAAAGAAGUUCACCACUUAAGCCUCUUGCUCUGGAACGUAGGACCAAAACACCACCGCUUAAACCUGGAAGCAAAAAUGUCCCUCAUUUCCCUGUGCGCCCAACACUGAACAACCAGACUGCUUCAGAGAGAUUGCCAGGCGUUUGAGAUGCACCCCAGCUACCACAAGGUGGAUGAGUUUCAGAAAAGAAUUAUUUGUGCCAUUUGGGAGUCUGUCCACGUGCACUCAUAAUAAAAGACGCCGACGGUCAGACCUGAAGUCCAACUCCCAGAAGAUUUCUUUCUUCAUCGACAAGGAAAAAAGCCCGUGUCACCCAAGCAUCUGACCCAGGGAGCAUCGUUUCCAAGCUCAAGGGGUUGGGGAGCGCCUCUGUCCCUGGUGGCACAAACUGGUCAAACACUGGACAGCUAGCUGAAAGGCUGGAAGUUCCAGCCCACCCAGAGGCACCUCAAGAAAGGUUUGGCUGUCUGAGUCAGAAAGGUCACAGGCUCAAAAGCCCUAUGGGGCAGCUUCACUCUGCACACAGAGGGUCACCGGGGUCAGGACGCACAGCGGCAGCUGCCUCCACCCCCAUGGGGUUCGAGUAGAACCCAAGCACCAGCAUUCACGAAUCGCCUUUGAAGCCUUCGGCCUGCAUG